RNAcentral lists this small nucleolar RNA (90 nucleotides) under Ananas comosus (pineapple). RNAcentral describes it as "Small nucleolar RNA Z161/Z228". It matches the Rfam family "Small nucleolar RNA Z161/Z228". Rfam says of the family: Z161 and Z228 are members of the C/D class of snoRNA which contain the C (UGAUGA) and D (CUGA) box motifs. Most of the members of the box C/D family function in directing site-specific 2'-O-methylation of substrate RNAs. The record is from Rfam by way of RNAcentral. Lineage: Eukaryota; Viridiplantae; Streptophyta; Magnoliopsida; Poales; Bromeliaceae.
GGGCAAUAUGAUGAGAAUAUGUAAAUUACUCACGACGGUCGUCUGAGGCACUUAUGUGUCUACGCUGAUGCAAAAAUCUCUCUGAUGCCU